CAAAGCAAAGUGAACUGUUACUAGAGGAAGAUGUGAAUAGCGCCAUAAAAAGAUUUUGGGAGGAAAACUAUGAUCCAUGCGUGCAACAACUAUUCACUGAGAAGACUGAUGCAAGCACAAGUGAGGCCGAAGAGAAAAAUGGUGUUGAUAAUGACUCAAAGGAAGAUUGAUCUUUUAAUUUAUUAAUGAUUCAAUUAUAGAACAUUAUAAUAAUUUAGAUUGUAGUUGUUCAAUGUAGGUUCUAUUGUUGAACGUGUGAGGUAGUCUUUUUCUUUUUUGGGGGGUGUGAGACUUUAUUGGAUUGGACCAAAAAGUUUGCCAGAAUGUAUUGGUGUGUUAUGUAUAAGGUUGAGACUCAUAUAGACUCAUAGUACCUUUGUCAUGGAGCUUUGGAGCUAAGACAAGGCUAUUAUAUAGUCCAAGAAAUCAUACGAAGUUUUAUUAGUGAAACUGGUAGUUUCGUACAUAGACAAAUUAAUGGAUUGUUUUAAUCAAGUAGUGCAUUUUGUA
Quercus lobata is the source of this 510-nucleotide long non-coding RNA. RefSeq lists it as uncharacterized. Lineage: Eukaryota; Viridiplantae; Streptophyta; Magnoliopsida; Fagales; Fagaceae. The transcript has 2 exons. The record is from RefSeq and is a predicted model, not a curated record.